Molecule: ribosomal RNA, 460 nt
Filed under: uncultured bacterium
Lineage: Bacteria
Description: partial 16S ribosomal RNA
Rfam family: Bacterial small subunit ribosomal RNA
Source: RNAcentral
CCUACGGGAGGCUGCAGUGAGGAAUAUUGGUCAAUGGCCGUAAGGCUGAACCAGCCAAGUCGCGUGAAGGAAGAAGGAUCUAUGGUUUGUAAACUUCUUUUAUAGGGGAAUAAAGGUAUCCACGUGUGGAUAUUUGCAUGUACCCUAUGAAUAAGCAUCGGCUAACUCCGUGCCAGCAGCCGCGGUAAUACGGAGGAUGCGAGCGUUAUCCGGAUUUAUUGGGUUUAAAGGGUGCGUAGGUUGUUUUUUAAGUCAGCGGUGAAAGUUUGGGGCUCAACCAUAAACUUGCCGUUGAAACUGGAAGGCUUGAGUUGGAUUGAGGUAGGCGGAAUGCGCGGUGUAGCGGUGAAAUGCAUAGAUAUCACGCAGAACUCCGAUUGCGAAGGCAGCUUACCAAGCCAAAACUGACACUGAAGCACGAAAGCGUGGGGAUCAAACAGGAUUAGAUACCCGGGUAGUC